This 305-nucleotide ribosomal RNA is filed under the name uncultured bacterium. RNAcentral's name for it is "bacterial SSU rRNA". It matches the Rfam family "Bacterial small subunit ribosomal RNA", at positions 337 to 659 of the family's 1533-position model. The record is from RNAcentral.
ACCUACGGGGGGCAGCAGUGGGGGAUAUUGCACAAUGGGGGAAACCCUGAUGCAGCGACGCCGCGUGAGUGAAGAAGUAUUUCGGUACGUAAAGCUCUAUCAGCAGGGAAGAAUAAUGACGGUACCUGACUAAGAAGCCCCGGCUAACUACGUGCCAGCAGCCGCGGUAAUACGGAGGAUGCGAGCGUUAUCCGGAUUUAUUGGGUUUAAAGGGUGCGUAGGCGGAAUGCCAAGUCAGCGGUAAAAUGUCCGGGCUCAACCCGGGCCGGCCGUUGAAACUGGGGAUCUUGAGUGGGCGAGACGUA